GCGCCAAGGCCAAGAAGGAGGAGGACGACGACGACAUGGCCGAGCUGGCCGCGUGGGCCUCGUAGACGUCGCUGGUGCCUCCGCCCGCCCGCAGCACGCCCUAUUCCACCGCAAUUUUUUUUCAAGUAAUCCUCUCUCCUCAUCGGCGACCUUCAGCGCUAUGCGUAGCUGUGUUUGGGGUUUCGAAAGCGAGGUGGCGGCGUGCUGCCAUCUAUGGAACGCUGGGUGAACUUAAGCCUUUCUUGUGUGACGCACGGCAGUGGCGUGAUUUAGUGCCGAAUCGCAGAAUGCUACUCUGCACCACACAGAGAACUGUUGUCCUGCUCGGUUGGUCUCCAUUGUGAGUCUAACCUGGCAUUGUUUAGGACCUGCUGAGUGCAUCUACACCGCUGCGUUGUGGGCCCGCUUUAGAUAAAUAUGUGUGGCGUGACAGACGACCUCCCGGACUCAACGGGGGCGCUCUGAGUAGGUCGGUGCGUAGAGUGUGAACUGGAGUGGUUCGGCUGCGACUGGAGUUCGACUGUUAUUCUGCGUAGGUUCGACUGGAACUGUAGCGGCCUCUUGGAUAAGCAUCGCUGCGUCGGCAUCGCUCUCCCCCCGUGAUUUUCGAAUGCAAUUGGCGUACAGAACGACAAGAAGCGAAUGGUAACCAUGCUGAGAUAGCUCUAGGGUGGUCUUUCGCCUCGCUGGGCUGAAGUCGCCAGCACCCAGGCUAACGUGUUCACCAUACGUCCGUGGCGUCUAGCAGAAGCGCGCCGAGUUGGUCCGGCCUGGGUGGCCUCGAGCGGCUCCAGCGCCGAGCGCCCCCGCCGCCUGCGCCCUGCGCCGGCCGGUGGCCAGCUGACCUCGCCAGCGCAGAGCAUGGCGUGAUGGCCGGCGGCCCCGCGGCGCCACUCGGGUCACGUGACGGGUCGCCGUGCGGUAUCCGUGGGUGAUGUGUGCGGCUGGCUUGUAUCGCGCGCGCGGUUUGUCUGUGGCGUUUCAGAGAGCGGCGACGCCCGUGCCGGCUGCCACUGCUGACGACUGGACCGGACCUGACCUGACCUGAUCGGAUCUGACCUGACGUGACUGCUCUGUCCACUCCUGUCUUUCCCUGGCCCGCCUUCACACGGCCUGUCUUGACCAAAUCCGCCCUGACUGAAGCAAAAUCGAUUUGUUCUGUUGGGUUCGACGUGACGACCUGGCCUAACUUGACUUGAACUGGCAUGAUUCGACGUGAUCUGACAGACCUGACGUGCCGUGACCUGACGUGAUGUCAUCUGACCUGGCACGACCUUAACGCACGUGACAUGACAUGACCCGACCUAGCCUGACAUAAUGUGGCCUGACCUGGCAUGACGAGGCUGACCUGACCGGCGCCACUGGACUCGAUCUGGUGCGACCUUAAUGAGCAGUGGCGUGUGAGGCAGAAGGCCCGGCCGUGCUGCGUUGUGGUGUGGCUGUUGGGCCGUGCGAGGCCCCACAGCUGUGGUCUGGGUCCAGUGCGUUUGACGUGGAAUGUCGCCUCAGCCUUUGCGCCGUAAUACAGGGGAGUAAGCGUGCUGUUCGUGAA
Molecule: long non-coding RNA, 1552 nt
Organism: Pollicipes pollicipes
Lineage: Eukaryota; Metazoa; Arthropoda; Thecostraca; Pollicipedomorpha; Pollicipedidae
Exons: 2
Source: RefSeq, a predicted model, not a curated record